This 92-nucleotide small nucleolar RNA is filed under the name Bos indicus x Bos taurus (hybrid cattle). Its description in RNAcentral is "Small nucleolar RNA SNORD116 (ENSBIXG00005020749.1)". It matches the Rfam family "Small nucleolar RNA SNORD116". Rfam says of the family: HBII-85 is a member of the C/D class of snoRNAs, which contain the C (UGAUGA) and D (CUGA) box motifs. HBII-85 is encoded in a tandemly repeated array with another C/D snoRNA, HBII-52, in the Prader-Willi syndrome (PWS) region of chromosome 15. Lineage: Eukaryota; Metazoa; Chordata; Mammalia; Artiodactyla; Bovidae. The record is from RNAcentral.
GGAUCGAUGAUGACACCCUCACAUGCAUUCUUGGAAAAUCUGAACAAAAUGAGUGAGAACUCACUACCGUCUCCUCAUCGAAACUGAGGUCC